Molecule: microRNA precursor, 97 nt
Filed under: Chlorocebus sabaeus (green monkey)
Lineage: Eukaryota; Metazoa; Chordata; Mammalia; Primates; Cercopithecidae
Description: miRNA (ENSCSAG00000023410.1)
Source: RNAcentral
GGUUUGUGCAAAUGUAAUUGUGGUUUUUGCCAUUAAAAGUAAUGGCAAAAUGAAAAGUAAUGGCAAAAACUGCAAUUACUUUUGUACCAACCUAACA